Non-coding RNA from Danio rerio (zebrafish), 424 nucleotides. The record is from RefSeq and is a predicted model, not a curated record. NCBI's taxonomy places the organism in Eukaryota, Metazoa, Chordata, Actinopteri, Cypriniformes, Danionidae.
UGAAAAACCGGGCCCUGGAGAUGACCUUCUGCAGCUUUCCAGUUAUCAUUUCUCUAUUGCUAAACUAGGUUAGAGUAGACAUCAAUUGGUAUGUACUGGCAAAUCCAUCAUGUCGUGGAGUUUUGGGAUAAAAUCCCAAAGUACAAAAUCUUCAUUAUCAUGGGAGGAGUAUCACCAAAGCAAGACCAUCUUUUCGAAGUGUUUGGAUGUGGUUAAAUGUAUUGCUCAUUGUGGAGACUGAGUGCAGCCUGCUGCAGCUGCUGAACAGGCUCUUUGGCACACAGAAGUCCAUAUUCUGCUCCAUCAACACAUAAUUUUCUGCUUGACAGUUUAUGGCUGUCUACUUUGUUCUGUUUCUUCAUUGUUUGUGAUUCUUGAUAUAUUUUAACACACAUGUCUGGAAAUUAAAAUGUAAUGGAAAUAA